Molecule: ribosomal RNA, 449 nt
Filed under: uncultured bacterium
Lineage: Bacteria
Description: bacterial SSU rRNA
Rfam family: Bacterial small subunit ribosomal RNA
Source: RNAcentral
CCCAGACUCCUACGGGAGGCAGCAGUGGGGAAUAUUGCACAAUGGGCGCAAGCCUGAUGCAGCAACGCCGCGCGAGCGAAGAAGGUCUUCGGAUCGUAAAGCUCUGUCCUUGAGGAAGAAGGAAGUGACGGUACUCAAGGAGGAAGCCCCGGCUAACUACGUGCCAGCAGCCGCGGUAAUACGGAGGAUGCGAGCGUUAUCCGGAUUUAUUGGGUUUAAAGGGUGCGUAGGCGGGCUUUUAAGUCAGCGGUAAAAAUUCGGGGCUCAACCCCGUCCGGCCGUUGAAACUGGGGGCCUUGAGUGGGCGAGAAGAAGGCGGAAUGCGUGGUGUAGCGGUGAAAUGCAUAGAUAUCACGCAGAACCCCGAUUGCGAAGGCAGCCUUCCGGCGCCCUACUGACGCUGAGGCACGAAAGUGCGGGGAUCGAACAGGAUUAGAUACCCUAGUAGA